GAUGAACGCUGGCGGCGUGCCUAAUACAUGCAAGUCGAGCGAACAGAUAAGGAGCUUGCUCCUUUGACGUUAGCGGCGGGCGGGUGAGUAACACGUGGGUAACCUACCUAUAAGACUGGAAUAACUCCGGGAAACCGGGGCUAAUGCCGGAUAACAUUUAGAACCGCAUGGUUCUAAAGUGAAAGAUGGUUUUGCUAUCACUUAUAGAUGGACCCGCGCCGUAUUAGCUAGUUGGUAAGGUAACGGCUUACCAAGGCAACGAUACGUAGCCGGCCUGAGAGGGUGAUCGGCCACACUGGAACUGAGACACGGUCCAGACUCCUACGGGAGGCAGCAGUAGGGAAUCUUCCGCAAUGGGCGAAAGCCUGACGGAGCAACGCCGCGUGAGUGAUGAAGGUCUUCGGAUCGUAAAACUCUGUUGUUAGGGAAGAACAAAUGUGUAAGUAACUGUGCACGUCUUGACGGUACCUAAUCAGAAAGCCACGGCUAACUACGUG
Molecule: ribosomal RNA, 497 nt
Filed under: uncultured bacterium
Lineage: Bacteria
Description: partial 16S ribosomal RNA
Rfam family: Bacterial small subunit ribosomal RNA
Source: RNAcentral